AACGUAGGACGCAAGCGUUAUCCGGAAUUACUGGGCGUAAAGCGCGUGUAGGUGGUUGCAUAAGUCACUGUUGAAAGCUCCCGGCUAAACUGGGAGAGGUGCGGUGAGACUGUGUGGCUAGAGUGUGGAAGAGGGGUGCAGAAUUCCGGGUGUAGUGGUGAAAUGCGUAGAGAUCCGGAGGAAUACCAGAGGCGAAGGCGGCACCCUGGUCCAAGACUGACACUGAGACGCGAAAGCAUGGGGAGCGAACGGG
Molecule: ribosomal RNA, 253 nt
Filed under: uncultured bacterium
Lineage: Bacteria
Description: partial 16S ribosomal RNA
Rfam family: Bacterial small subunit ribosomal RNA
Source: RNAcentral